Molecule: long non-coding RNA, 1412 nt
Organism: Stegodyphus dumicola
Lineage: Eukaryota; Metazoa; Arthropoda; Arachnida; Araneae; Eresidae
Source: RefSeq, a predicted model, not a curated record
UGGCGCCAGUUUCAUGUAGCGAAAAUUAUAAUGAAGAAGCAAAAUCUGAAUCAAAAUUAUUCAUAUAAAAUUGUUAAAACUGAUUUUCAUAAUGAUAUUUCUUACUUACGCUUCUUACGCUUUUAGAAUUGCUGAAUUAUGGAUUGAUUCAUACCAAAAGCUGCCCCUGGUGUAAUUUGGAAAACGGCUUGCACUUUCAAAUGUACCAGCAAAUAUAACAUCUGUCGCAGAUUUUCACCGCCAGCAUAAUACCGAUUCUCAUAAACGAAUUAAGAAUCUGAAGAUUUCAAAAAUUACGAGUUGCCUAGCAGUCCGGAAAAUUAUAGUGCAAAGGUGUACAACUUCUCCAAAGCUGUUUGCCUGUCAACACAGAUAUCGCAGUUUCUGGACUUGAAAGUUUUCAUGAUUGAUGGUAUUUAAAGGUAAACAAUGCACUGACCAGUAUCUGGCCAUAUGCAGUGUACUUAUUGUGGCAGCUCCACAUAUUAAAGGCAAUGCGGAACUGGCUAUGUAACAUUAAAACUGAGAUACCUACAUCUAACCUUAAGGAAAUUUUCUUUCGUUUCAAAGACGUGAGCAGAAACUGAAUUUGAACAAAAAUAUUAAUUAUAGAAAAUACUUAAAUUUCAGAAAUAAAAAAAAAAAAAAAAAUGCGAACAUAUUUUCCCACAUUGCUUGCUAAAAAAACUCUUUGGGCAAGGUGCUUUAGAACUGGGUUACCUAUACAAGGUAACAAUACUAACAGCUGUAUUGAAGUUGUUUUAAAGUAUUGAAGGAUACCGCACUGAAGUGAGUGAAAGCAUAUUCAAUAAUUCUGUUAGCAGACUAUCAGGCUAUGAAAAUUAUCUGCAUAGAUGGUACCUGGAUUUUAGCUAUGGCAGAUACACUAAAAGUCUACUGAAAAAAUUUAUUGUGACUGAUGGUGCAAUAUAUCGUUUGAUUCACAAGAACAGAUUUUUUGGUAAAAAGGAAAUAAACAAAGGUAUUGUGUUGGUGCAGUCUUCAUAUUGUAUGUGUUACUUUGGAGCUAGUGGGCAAUACUGUAAGCAUAUACCUGCUGUAGGCAACCAAAGUAAUAUUGGUAAUUCUUUUGUUUACUCAGAAAUUAGCUGCUCAGUGAUGUUUGAAAUAGCCACUAUGAAUCCACUGAUGACUUCUUGAAGUGAUUAAUAUAUUAUUUCAAUUCUCCAGAAAACUCUUUUUCUUCUGUUAAUGAUAAUGCAAGUACAUCAUCAGCACCAGGCACAUUUAAGUGCACUUUGAAGGACCAUAUUAAUCCCUAUACAGUGCUUCCUUCAAAGCAUAAGGCUGCGCCCCAUGUGUAAUGUGUAUAUGGUGUUUCGUGUUGAUAAAAAUCUUUCAUUCAGAAUAGAUUGUUCUGUAAAAUAAAAAUAUAUGUAUAUGAUUUUAAA